This 433-nucleotide ribosomal RNA is filed under the name uncultured bacterium. RNAcentral's name for it is "partial 16S ribosomal RNA". It matches the Rfam family "Bacterial small subunit ribosomal RNA", at positions 29 to 507 of the family's 1533-position model. The record is from RNAcentral.
AACGAACGCUGGCGGCAUGCCUAACACAUGCCAGUCGAACGAGACCUUCGGGUCUAGUGGCGCACGGGUGCGUAACGCGUGGGAACCUGCCCUUAGGUUCGGAAUAACUCCCCGAAAGGGGUGCUAAUACCGGAUAAUGUCUUCGGACCAAAGAUUUAUCGCCUUUGGAUGGGCCCGCGUUGGAUUAGCUAGUUGGUAGGGUAAAAGCCUACCAAGGCGACGAUCCAUAGCUGGUCUGAGAGGAUGAUCAGCCACACUGGGACUGAGACACGGCCCAGACUCCUACGGGAGGCAGCAGUGGGGAAUAUUGGACAAUGGGCGAAAGCCUGAUCCAGCAAGGCCGCGUGAGUGGUGAAGGCCGUAGGGUUGUAAAGCUUUUUUACCCGGGAUGAUAAUGACAGUACCGGGAGAAGAAGCGCCGGCUAACUCCGUG